UACGUAGGUGGCGAGCGUUGUCCGGAUUUACUGGGCGUAAAGGGAGCGUAGGCGGACUUUUAAGUGAGAUGUGAAAUACUCGGGCUCAACUUGAGUGCUGCAUUUCAAAUUGGAAGUCUAGAGUGCAGGAGAGGAGAAUGGAAUUCCUAGUGUAGCGGUGAAAUGCGUAGAGAUUAGGAAGAACACCAGUGGCGAAGGCGGUUCUCUGGACUGUAACUGACGCUGAGGCUCGAAAGCGUGGGGAGCAAACAGG
RNAcentral lists this ribosomal RNA (253 nucleotides) under uncultured bacterium. Its description in RNAcentral is "partial 16S ribosomal RNA". It matches the Rfam family "Bacterial small subunit ribosomal RNA", at positions 524 to 776 of the family's 1533-position model. The record is from RNAcentral.